CCCCCGAAAUAGCUUUAGGGCUAGCGUUAUGUUAGAUUACCGGAGGUAAAGCACUGAAUGGGCUAGGGGCUGAUAAAGUUACUGAACCCUAUCAAACUCAGAAUGCCGGCUAAUUGAUGCAUAGCAGUCAGACUACGUGAGAUAAGUCUCGUGGUCAAAAGGGAAACAGCCCAGACCCACAGCUAAGGUCCCUAAUAGAUACUAAGUGGAAAACGAUGUGAGAUUGCCCAGACAACCAGGAUGUUGGCUUAGAAGCAGCCACUCAUUAAAAGAGUGCGUAAUAGCUCACUGGUCGAGUGGUCUUGCGCGGAAAAUAUAACGGGGCUAAGUAUCUAACCGAAGCUUGGGCUUGCGUUUACGCAGGGGUAGGGGAGCGUCGAAUACGGGGUGAAGUCAGAGCGGAAGCACUGGUGGACUGUAUUCGAGUGAGAAUGCCGGAAUGAGUAGCGAGAAUUAUGUGGGAAUCAUAAUGGCCGAAAAUCUAAGGUUUCCUGGGGAAGGUUCGUCCGCCCAGGGUUAGUCGGGAGCUAAGGCGAGGCCGCGAGGCGUAGUCGAUGCACAUACGGUUGAAAUUCCGUAACCACCUUAUCGAAUGAAAGCUGACACUUGGAAAUAGCGGGACCCGGAGAUUGGUAGAUCCGGGCGUAAGGGACCGAAUACGAGUAGGAAAGUCCGCGAUGUUCCGAGGCGAGAAAAGGCGAAGGUAGGGUGCCCGUACCGCAAACCGACACAGGUAGAUGAGGAGAGAAUCCUAAGGCCAACGGGAGAAGGGUUGUUAAGGAACUCGGCAAAAUGACCCCGUAACUUCGGGAUAAGGGGAGCCUGUCUAUGGCAGGCCGCAGAGAAUAGGCCCAAGCGACUGUUUACCAAAAACACAGGUCUAUGCUAAAUCGAAAGAUGACGUAUAUGGGCUGACGCCUGCCCGGUGCUGGAAGGUUAAGAGGAGAUGUCAGGCAACGAAGCAUUGAAUCGAAGCCCCAGUAAACGGCGGCCGUAACUAUAACGGUCCUAAGGUAGCGAAAUUCCUUGUCAGGUAAGUUCUGACCCGCACGAAUGGCGUAACGAUUUGGGCGCUGUCUCAACAGCCCACCCGGCGAAAUUGUUGUACUGGUGAAGAAGCCAGUUACCCGCAACUAGACGGAAAGACCCCAUGGAGCUUUACUGCAGCUUAAUACUGGAAUUCGGUAAUUCAUGUACAGGAUAGGUGGGAGACUGAGAACUAACGUCGUCAGGCGCUAGGGAGUCGCCCUUGGGAUACCACUCUUGAAUUGCUGGGUUUCUAACCUGCGGCCGUGAAUCCGGUCGGGGGACACUGUUAGGCAGACAGUUUGACUGGGGCGGUCGCCUCCUAAAAGGUAACGGAGGCGCUCAAAGGUUGGCUCAGCACGGACGGAAAUCGUGCAAUGAGUGUAAACGUAUAAGCCAGCCUAACUGCGAGAGUGACGGCUCGAGCAGUAACGAAAGUUGGAGUUAGUGAUCCGGUGGUAUGUGAGUGGAAAUGCCAUCGCUCAACGGAUAAAAGCAAAAG
This 1528-nucleotide ribosomal RNA is filed under the name metagenome. RNAcentral describes it as "bacterial LSU rRNA". It matches the Rfam family "Bacterial large subunit ribosomal RNA", at positions 856 to 2468 of the family's 2925-position model. The record is from RNAcentral.